UUGGUGCUUCACAAUUAUGCACAAAUCAAAGCUGUUUGCAAUUAUUACUUUCACGCUCACCGUACUGCCAGUCGUGAUUGGCGCUACGUGGACAAAUAAGACAGAUGAUCCGUGUGACAGAAGAAACCAUACAUGUUGGUACCCAGAUAUGUGCAAAACCUGUCCAAAAGACAUUGUGCAGGGUUAUAUAAGGGCACAUAUAUAUUACUUCGACAAUAAAAAAAACGACUGCAUGCCGGCUGUUGGUACCAGCAACAGCUGCAACAGUUUCGACACUUACAACGAGUGCACGUUCCUCUGCGGGUUGUCUGAAGCAGAUUAAUAUUGAAGAGCAAAGCGCACCGGUUCCUGUAUGAAAAUAUUCUGGAUAUCACACCGGAGCUAGCAUGUGGAAGUCAUUCAAAUUGGUUUUGGCUAUCCUGUUGAAGAUGUUGCUCAAUAAAAGAUUUUGAAUUUAA
Molecule: long non-coding RNA, 458 nt
Filed under: Dermacentor andersoni
Lineage: Eukaryota; Metazoa; Arthropoda; Arachnida; Ixodida; Ixodidae
Description: uncharacterized LOC126527520
Source: RNAcentral